GCCUGGAUGGCUCAGUCGGUUAAGCGUCUGACUUCGACUCAGGUCAUGGUAUCACGGUCCGUGAGUUCGAGCCCCGCAUCGGGCU
This 85-nucleotide transfer RNA is filed under the name Felis catus (domestic cat). It matches the Rfam family "tRNA". From Rfam's summary of the family: Transfer RNA (tRNA) molecules are approximately 80 nucleotides in length. Their secondary structure includes four short double-helical elements and three loops (D, anti-codon, and T loops). Lineage: Eukaryota; Metazoa; Chordata; Mammalia; Carnivora; Felidae. The record is from Rfam by way of RNAcentral.